CUCCACUCUUAGUAAACCCAAAUGAAUUUCUCAAGGAAAAAGAAAUUGGCCCUAUCUUCUUCCAGUUAGUCAUGAUGCAGUAACAAAAUUAAACGCCCAAAGAGAAUCACUAUCUGUGGAUCCAUUCUAGUUUCUCCUCUUCUGAUUUUCUUGUUGCCAUCUUUUCAACAGUAUGGUAAAUGGGACGGUGUAAUGUGUGAGCAAGUGAUGAUUUCAACGAAUAGUUCACCAUAUCUCAACUAUUAACCUUCUGAUUUAUUCUUUGACUGUUGGCUGAGAGUGGGAUCAAAACAUUCCUCAAGCACUUUGGAAGCUCUCUUGAACACGAACUUCAGUAACAUUAAUGGCUCCUUCGUCUGGAGGUUAUUUCUUAUGGAUGAAAAUUGUUAAUGGCAUGAGCAAAGUCGGAAAAAGGCAGGGGUACUUGAAAGAGAGAUUUUCUAUAUGACCAAGUUCUACAUGACGUCUUUUCAAGUUGAAGUGUGCAAUCCACUAAAGGGGUGCAAAUGGAUGUUCAAAAAGGUUGUGGCAGCAAACAAGUUACAUCUACCCUCAGGCAGAGAUUUAAACACACAGUGAAAAGGCUUGUCAAGCCAGCCAUCAUUUUCAAAUCCCCCUUCGUCUCUCAAUGUGUUAGACUAUUUCCUAAAAUCAGCCAUCAAGAAAGGUUGGUUACUGAUUAUGCAUUGGCGAAAGAUGGUGAGCCAAAGUACUUCACAUGAAUUCAUCAUCUAUUGUUAAUGCGAGCAUUAUUGUUAAAGUUUAUGGCUAUUGACUAAACGCAUUUUUUACAUUGCAGUGAGAUCUUGUGCGAUAUGCAUGACACAUAUAAUCGUGGAGGACAAGAUGCAUCUAUAUCGAUUGAGGUUGGUUGUUACCUUGGUUACGAAUACGGCAAACAAUGCUAGAGAGAAGGUCAUGAAGGCAUGUUGAAUGUGAUGUAUGGGGGUUGUGCCACUUUAGUUAGUUGCAAUUUAUGAAAUACUACAAGUCGCCUAUAAAAGACAAUGUCAAAGAGAAGGGAAAGACGUGUUUGUAAAUGAUCAUGGUUUGCUUUAUUUGUUUGUUAAUAGUGUUUGCCACUGUGCACCAAUUUAUGCUAACAGAAUAAUGCACGUUGGGACAACAGUGGAAACAUUUGUCAGGGAUUAUCUGGUGGGAUUUGUUGAACUUCCAAUCAUCCCUUUGUCUUUUAUUCCAUGAUGCUCCAUUAACUUUAUUAGUCAUGCUUAUUGUCUUCUGUUUUACAGGAAAGGUUGAGCAGAGCUACAAAUUGGCUGAUGUUAAGUGCAUCAGCAAGGCCAAGUGUGAUUAAUAGGGGAGGUCAUUGAUGGCACCUUACUUGCCUGAGAGUGGGGCUGGUGGUGGCGGCAGUCCAUAAUCAGAAGGUGGGGCCCUCUAUGCUAUUGUGAUGCUUAAAUCAGUUUUAGGUUGCACUAUUAUUAUCUACUAUAUUUUGUUUGUUUUAGAUAAAACUACUUCUUAGCUUCAUGUCACCUUCUUUUCCCUUCUUUCUAUUCUCAUGAUUAUUAUUAUUAUUAUUAUUAUUUUUCUUAAUUGCAAACGACAAUUGGAAAACAUAAUUGUUGACAACCAUGAAGACACCAUGACGAAGACAGGAGCAAUGUUACUUUGGAAUCGUGGCUGCUGGAAAAAGGGAUGUGAUCAUAAGACAUUCUCAUCAUCACUCAGACUUUAUAAUAUAAUUGUUCAUAUUUUGAUUUUUGUUUGUAAAUUUAGGCAUGCCCAAUACUAGAGCUCUCUAAAAACUAUAUAGAUACAUCAUAAUUGGUUUUUUUGGUUUACCAUUUUUACUUUGGGAAACCAUUGCAUACUUCCGAUAUAUUUGGGUUGUGCCCCCUCUUCUGUUAGGUGCUUUUAGAUUAAUUUAUCAGUGACUAAAAAAAUACAUUGGUAUAUGAAAUUUUGGUUGAGCUAAAGAGGUUACUCCAUGACCUCUUUGCAGGUGCGCGGUUCUAUGAGAGCCAUGCAAUAUGAGAAACUAUUGCCUUGGUUGAAGAACUUGCUUUCUAUUCUGCAUACUAUUUGGCCAAGUACGAUGUGUUUGAUAUUGGCUUUAUAACUACGGACGACUUCACAAAUGUAGACAUAUUGGAAGCAACUUACCCAGCUGUUGCAAAGAGGGUUGGAGAUCUGGUGCAGUUACUACUUUGGGUAGGGGUGGGAGUGAUUUGACAGCCACAUCCAUUGGUAGAGCCUUAGGCUUGCAAGAGAUUCAGGAAAUGGCGAUUGGUCUAUUCCAGAAGGAGAUAGCCUGAAAGGAAACAACCCUUCUGAGGCAACAAAUCCAAUGACACUGCCUCCCAGAAGUACCAUCAAAUAAUUGUGGAUUGGAGAGAGUUCAGAGCAGCUCUCUUUGUUCGGGAACAGGCAGAAAAGGCAUAUCGUGAGGCUUACAGCGAAGGUGGAACACCCCAAGAGCGUAGUGCUUCCUGUAGGCCUGAAAUGGGCCCAUCCUAUUCGAGGACCCGAGACUGGCUAUGUCCUUAUAGCCACAAUGAAGCUUGAUGGGGUACGCUCCUUUGAAAGAACCGUUGUUCUCCUUCUCAGAUCUGGAACCAGACACCCACAGGAGGGGCCAUUUGGAGUUGUCAUUAACCGGGCUCUUCACAAAACGAUCAAACACAUGAAGCCCAUUAAUCUGGAGCUGGCAACCACUUUUGCUGAAUGUUCCUUGCAUUUUGGUGGUCCUCUAGAGGCAAGCAUGUUUUUACUUAAAACAGGGGUUUUGACUUGCGAUCCAAGUAUUUAUCCACGUGCAUUGCAUGUACGAUAUUGUAAUUAUAUUAGGACUUUAAGGUUAUUUUCUCUUUUUAUGAGGUGUACGAUUGAUUAUUUAGCUGAUAUUUAAGAUUCAGAAGUGAACUCUUGAUGUGGUGAUAA
Vitis vinifera (wine grape) is the source of this 2904-nucleotide long non-coding RNA. RefSeq lists it as uncharacterized. The record is from RefSeq and is a predicted model, not a curated record. The transcript has 9 exons. Lineage: Eukaryota; Viridiplantae; Streptophyta; Magnoliopsida; Vitales; Vitaceae.